GUCACUUUGCCGGAGUGGUUAACGGGAUCGCCUGCUACUCAGUAGCUGUCAGCGGUUGGGCUUUGCCCGCGUGUGUUCGAAUCGCACAGGUGACG
RNAcentral lists this transfer RNA (95 nucleotides) under Panus rudis PR-1116 ss-1. Its description in RNAcentral is "tRNA-Ser". It matches the Rfam family "tRNA". From Rfam's summary of the family: Transfer RNA (tRNA) molecules are approximately 80 nucleotides in length. Lineage: Eukaryota; Fungi; Basidiomycota; Agaricomycetes; Polyporales; Panaceae. The record is from RNAcentral.